AUUGAACGCUGGCGGCAGGCCUAACACAUGCAAGUCGAACGAGUGGCGGACGGGUGAGUAAUGUCUGGGAAACUGCCUGAUGGAGGGGGAUAACUACUGGAAACGGUAGCUAAUACCGCAUACCAUCAGAUGUGCCCAGAUGGGAUUAGCUUGUUGGUGGGGUAACGGUGCACCAAGGCGACGAUCCCUAGCUGGUCGGAGAGGAUGACCGGCCGCACGGGAAGUGAGACACGGUCCAGAGUCCUACGUGAGGCAGCAGUGGGGAAUAUUGCACAAUGGUCGCAAGCCGGAUGCAGCGAUGCGGCGUGUAUGAAGAAGGCCUUCGGGUUGUAAAGUACUUUCAGCGGGGAGGCGUUACCCGCAGAAGAAGCACCGGCUAACUCCGUGCCAGCAGCCGCGGUAAUUC
RNAcentral lists this ribosomal RNA (406 nucleotides) under uncultured bacterium. Its description in RNAcentral is "partial 16S ribosomal RNA". It matches the Rfam family "Bacterial small subunit ribosomal RNA", at positions 30 to 526 of the family's 1533-position model. The record is from RNAcentral.